UGGGGAAUUUUGGACAAUGGGCGCAAGCCUGAUCCAGCCAUGCCGCGUGCGGGAAGAAGGCCUUCGGGUUGUAAACCGCUUUUGUCAGGGAGGAAAUCUUCUGAGUUAAUACCUCGGGAGGAUGACGGUACCUGAAGAAUAAGCACCGGCUAACUACGUGCCAGCAGCCGCGGUAAUACGUAGGGUGCAAGCGUUAAUCGGAAUUACUGGGCGUAAAGCGUGCGCAGGCGGUUUUGUAAGACAGGGGUGAAAUCCCCGGGCUCAACCUGGGAACUGCCUUUGUGACUGCAAGGCUUGAGUGCGGCAGAGGGGGGAUGGAAUUCCGCGUGUAGCAGUGAAAUGCGUAGAUAUGCGGAGGAACACCGAUGGCGAAGGCAAUCCCCUGGGCCUGCACUGACGCUCAUGCACGAAAGCGUGGGGAGCAAACAGGAUUAGAUACCCUGGUAGUCCACGCCCUAAAACGAUGUCAACUGGUUGUUGGGAAGGUUCCUUCUCAGUAACGUAGCUAACGCGUGAAGUUGACCGCCUGGGGAGUACGGCCGCAAGGUUGAAAACUCAAAAUGAAUUGACGGGGUCAUAGCUGUUUCCU
This 589-nucleotide ribosomal RNA is filed under the name uncultured bacterium. RNAcentral describes it as "partial 16S ribosomal RNA". It matches the Rfam family "Bacterial small subunit ribosomal RNA", at positions 355 to 1375 of the family's 1533-position model. The record is from RNAcentral.